Molecule: ribosomal RNA, 253 nt
Filed under: uncultured bacterium
Lineage: Bacteria
Description: partial 16S ribosomal RNA
Rfam family: Bacterial small subunit ribosomal RNA
Source: RNAcentral
UACGUAGGUGGCAAGCGUUGUCCGGAAUUAUUGGGCGUAAAGCGCGCGCAGGCGGUCCUUUAAGUCUGAUGUGAAAGCCCACGGCUCAACCGUGGAGGGUCAUUGGAAACUGGGGGACUUGAGUACAGAAGAGGAAAGCGGAAUUCCACGUGUAGCGGUGAAAUGCGUAGAGAUGUGGAGGAACACCAGUGGCGAAGGCGGCUCUUUGGUCUGUAACUGACGCUGAGGCGCGAAAGCGUGGGGAGCAAACAGG